RNAcentral lists this ribosomal RNA (180 nucleotides) under uncultured bacterium. RNAcentral's name for it is "partial 16S ribosomal RNA". It matches the Rfam family "Bacterial small subunit ribosomal RNA", at positions 1321 to 1500 of the family's 1533-position model. The record is from RNAcentral.
CGAAGCUGGAAUCGCUAGUAAUCGCGGAUCAGCACGCCGCGGUGAAUACGUUCCCGGGCCUUGUACACACCGCCCGUCACACCAUGAGAGUCGGAAAUGCCCGAAGCCGGUGACCCAACCAAAAGGAGGGAGCCGUCGAAGGCAGGUCUGAUAACUGGGGUGAAGUCGUAACAAGGUACC